Molecule: ribosomal RNA, 484 nt
Filed under: uncultured bacterium
Lineage: Bacteria
Description: partial 16S ribosomal RNA
Rfam family: Bacterial small subunit ribosomal RNA
Source: RNAcentral
AUUGAACGCUGGCGGCAGGCCUAACACAUGCAAGUCGAGCGGAUGAAGGGAGCUUGCUCCUGGAUUCAGCGGCGGACGGGUGAGUAAUGCCUAGGAAUCUGCCUGGUAGUGGGGGAUAACGUCCGGAAACGGGCGCUAAUACCGCAUACGUCCUGAGGGAGAAAGUGGGGGAUCUUCGGACCUCACGCUAUCAGAUGAGCCUAGGUCGGAUUAGCUAGUUGGUGGGGUAAAGGCCUACCAAGGCGACGAUCCGUAACUGGUCUGAGAGGAUGAUCAGUCACCCUGGAACUUAGACACGGUCCAGACUCCUACGGGAGGCAGCAGUGGGGAAUAUUGGACAAUGGGCGAAAGCCUGAUCCAGCCAUGCCGCGUGUGUGAAGAAGGUCUUCUGAUUGUAAAGCACUUUAAGUUGGGAGGAAGGGCAGUAAGUUAAUACCUUGCUGUUUUGACGUUACCAACAGAAUAAGCACCGGCUAACUUCGUG